This is a long non-coding RNA of Humulus lupulus (European hop), 562 nucleotides long. RefSeq lists it as uncharacterized. The transcript has 3 exons. NCBI's taxonomy places the organism in Eukaryota, Viridiplantae, Streptophyta, Magnoliopsida, Rosales, Cannabaceae. The record is from RefSeq and is a predicted model, not a curated record.
UGGUUUUAUAUUUAGGUUGGUGGUAAAGCGACACCAAGCGUAGGACAGUCUCGCAAUGUACCGCAGUCAAACAAUAUUCAUUCCCCUAAGAGUAUUGCACUAGAAAAAAGACAUAACUUUACAGAAGGGAAGAAUGCUUGCUACUUGCUUGAUUGAGCAGAUGUAAUUGUUGCUGAAGGUCGUUGGGAUUCUAGUGAUCCAAAGUUAACUGUACAUGGAAAGCCUCUUGGACCAGACUUUAUCCGAGUAUGGGUUGAUGCUGAUAUUGUACCAGAAUCUUACUUAUUUCAUCCUAAUAAUGCGAUGCUUACAAUACAAGAAGCAGUUGGUUCCACAGUUGCAUGGCCUUCUAAAAAAGUUAUUCCAAGAGAUGUGACAAGCGAAAUAGAAAAUGAUACUUAAUUUUGAAGGCUUUGUGUUAGGCAGCUAUAGAAUAUUUUGUGCUGAAAGUAGUAACUUUUCAAUAUGUUGAAUAUUUAAGACUACUUGAAUACUUAAAGAACAUUUUGUUGUUGAUGACAAUGUUGAAUGUUUUAAACUAAUUUGUGGAUUGUUAAUACAA